This 899-nucleotide ribosomal RNA is filed under the name Apogonichthys perdix (Perdix cardinalfish). RNAcentral describes it as "partial 16S ribosomal RNA". It matches the Rfam family "Bacterial large subunit ribosomal RNA", at positions 274 to 1719 of the family's 2925-position model. Lineage: Eukaryota; Metazoa; Chordata; Actinopteri; Kurtiformes; Apogonidae. The record is from RNAcentral.
AGCCUACAAGCUAGCCCACUUAACAAAACCCAACAACCCCCUAUUAAUAAACCCCCAGACCCUUAUGAUUUUAAACAAAACAUUCUUCCUCCCCAGUAUGGGCGACAGAAAAGGACCUAUGAAGCGAUAGCAAAAGUACCGCAAGGGAAAGCUGAAAGAGAGGUGAAAGAGACCAGUAAAGCCUUAGGAAGCAGAGCUUAGCACUCGUACCUUUUGCAUCAUGAUUUAGCAAGAGCUUGCCAGGCAAAAAGAAUUAUAGUCUGGCCCCCCGAAACCAAGUGAGCUACUCCAGGACAGCCCUGUGGGGCGAACCCGUCUCUGUGGCAAAAGAGUGGGACGAGCCUUGAGUAGAGGUGACAGACCUACCGAACUUGGUUAUAGCUGGUUGCCCACGAGAUGAAUAGCAGUUCAGCCCCUUUUAUUCUUGACGCAUUUACCGGUUCCCACCAUUCAAGCAGUUAGAGAACUCCAAGGGAGUUAGUCGAAGGGGGUACAGCCCCUUCGAGGAAGACACAACUUUUACAGAAGGCUAAAGAUCAUAGUAUCUUAGGAGCAGUGUUCUAGUUGGCUUAGAAGCAGCCAUCCAUGAGGAAAGCGUUAAAGCUCAUACACGAAAAACCUCCUAUUAUUCGGACCACCUAAUCUUACGCCCCUUCUAGUACUGGGCCUUUCCAUACCCUUAUGGAAGAGACGAUGCUAAUAUGAGUAAUAAGAGAGCCAGACUCUCUCCCGGCACAGGCGUACGUCGGAACGAACCCCCACCGAACAUUAACGGCCCCAUGACAUUGAGGGCCAUGGGGAAAAUGGCUUAGCCACUGGAAAACCCCCCAUCCCCCGCCGUUAACCUUACACCAGAGUGCCCCCCGGGAAAGACUUAAAGGAAGAGAAGGAACUCGGCA